CAGUAGUGAUUUAGAAUAAAUUAUACAUGUUGGACUUAGAACUUGACUUAGGAGAAAACUAUCGAUUUCUACACCGUCACUUUAUGAAACUACCAGAUUUAACUCUAGGAGCCGUAGUUUAUUUGUAUCGCCGCAGUUUGAGGGUGGUGGAUACCCAGAAUAGUGUAGAAUGCAUUUACGCUUGUGCUGAGAUGUCGAGUUUAUUUUUAUAGUAGUGUAUAGACUGUUCCGGAUUGUCGGGUGCCGUUGGGGCGGACGGUGGGCCUAAAAUGCUAUUUUUUGUAUCGGAUUGUGCCGAGGGCACGUUGAUUAUGGUUGUUAGACCGGCUAGACCUUUCUACUUUGAUUACAGCUUGUGAGAGCUUGAUUGAGCUCGGCAGAGAUACGCUUGCAUACUCGGUUGGGUAGCGCCCACGAGUGCCACUUCGGAGUCGGGCUUUGUGCUUUUGCGUUGUUUUUGGUUUGUCCUGGUUGGACUUGCUCUCCACUGACGACCUAGCGUGGUGGUACUAGUGUAGCUUCGGCAGGAGGGGACGGGUGUGUUCACAGUCGCUAGUGAGAUUGGGUCUGAGUCUGCAUUUUUUAUAGAUAUUAGUAUUUGGAUCGUGAUAGAAUAGUGGCAUAUAGCUGUAGAUUUGUUCCAGCUUUAUUUACUAUUCUUUAAAAAUUACUCAACAGAUUCCUCAUUGAAUCAACAGAUUUCUCAUUGAAUCAACAGAUUCCUCAUUAAAAAUUACUCAACAGAAUA
This 748-nucleotide long non-coding RNA is filed under the name Ananas comosus (pineapple). RNAcentral describes it as "long non-coding RNA (ACOM_LNC036851)". The record is from RNAcentral. Lineage: Eukaryota; Viridiplantae; Streptophyta; Magnoliopsida; Poales; Bromeliaceae.